RNAcentral lists this ribosomal RNA (433 nucleotides) under uncultured bacterium. RNAcentral's name for it is "partial 16S ribosomal RNA". It matches the Rfam family "Bacterial small subunit ribosomal RNA", at positions 29 to 507 of the family's 1533-position model. The record is from RNAcentral.
AACGAACGCUGGCGGCAUGCCUAACACAUGCAAGUCGAACGAGACCUUCGGGUCUAGUGGCGCACGGGUGCGUAACGCGUGGGAACCUGCCCUUAGGUUCGGAAUAACUCCCCGAAAGGGGUGCUAAUGCCGGAUAAUGUCUUCGGACCAAAGAUUUAUCGCCUUUGGAUGGGCCCGCGUUGGAUUAGCUAGUUGGUAGGGUAAAAGCCUACCAAGGCGGCGAUCCAUAGCUGGUCUGAGAGGAUGAUCAGCCACACUGGGACUGAGACACGGCCCAGACUCCUACGGGAAGCAGCAGUGGGGAAUAUUGGACAAUGGGCGAAAGCCUGAUCCAGCAAUGCCGCGUGAGUGAUGAAGGCCUUAGGGUUGUAAAGCUCUUUUACCCGGGAUGAUAAUGACAGUACCGGGAGAAUAAGCUCCGGCUAACUCCGUG